GCGACGGGUGAGUACACGUGGGCAAUCUGCCCUUCACUCUGGGACAAGCCCUGGAAACGGGGUCUAAUACCGGAUAACACUCUGUCCCGCAUGGGACGGGGUUAAAAGCUCCGGCGGUGAAGGAUGAGCCCGCGGCCUAUCAGCUUGUUGGUGGGGUAAUGGCCUACCAAGGCGACGACGGGUAGCCGGCCUGAGAGGGCGACCGGCCACACUGGGACUGAGACACGGCCCAGACUCCUACGGGAGGCAGCAGUGGGGAAUAUUGCACAAUGGGCGAAAGCCUGAUGCAGCGACGCCGCGUGAGGGAUGACGGCCUUCGGGUUGUAAACCUCUUUCAGCAGGGAAGAAGCGAAAGUGACGGUACCUGCAGAAGAAGCGCCGGCUAACUACGUGCCAGCAGCCGGGAGUAAUACG
This 414-nucleotide ribosomal RNA is filed under the name Streptomyces sp. MBT43. RNAcentral describes it as "bacterial SSU rRNA". It matches the Rfam family "Bacterial small subunit ribosomal RNA", at positions 99 to 527 of the family's 1533-position model. Lineage: Bacteria; Bacillati; Actinomycetota; Actinomycetes; Kitasatosporales; Streptomycetaceae. The record is from RNAcentral.